RNAcentral lists this ribosomal RNA (468 nucleotides) under uncultured bacterium. Its description in RNAcentral is "partial 16S ribosomal RNA". It matches the Rfam family "Bacterial small subunit ribosomal RNA", at positions 28 to 507 of the family's 1533-position model. The record is from RNAcentral.
GACGAAUGCUGGCGGCGUGCUUAACACAUGCAAGUCGAACGGAAAGGCCCUGCUUUUGUGGGGUGCUCGAGUGGCGAACGGGUGAGUAACACGUGAGUAACCUGCCCUUGACUUUGGGAUAACUUCAGGAAACUGGGGCUAAUACCGGAUAGGAGCUCCUGCUGCAUGGUGGGGGUUGGAAAGUUUCGGCGGUUGGGGCUGGACUCGCGGCUUAUCAGCUUGUUGGUGGGGUAGUGGCUUACCAAGGCUUUGACGGGUAGCCGGCCUGAGAGGGUGACCGGCCACAUUGGGACUGAGAUACGGCCCAGACUCCUACGGGAGGCAGCAGUGGGGAAUAUUGCACAAUGGGCGGAAGCCUGAUGCAGCAACGCCGCGUGCGGGAUGACGGCCUUCGGGUUGUAAACCGCUUUCGCCUGUGACGAAGCGUGAGUGACGGUAAUGGGUAAAGAAGCACCGGCUAACUACGUG